AUUGAACGCUGGCGGCAGGCCUAACACAUGCAAGUCGGGCGAAUCUAGCUUGCUAGAUGAGCGGCGAACGGGUGAGUAACGCGUAGGAAUCUGCCUGGUAGUGGGGGACAACGUUCCGAAAGGGGCGCUAAUACCGCAUACGCCCUACGGGGGAAAGCUGGGGACCUUCGGGCCUAGCGCUAUCAGAUGAGCCUGCGUCGGAUUAGCUAGUUGGUGGGGUAAAGGCCCACCAAGGCGACGAUCCGUAACUGGUCUGAGAGGAUGAUCAGUCACACCGGAACUGAGACACGGUCCGGACUCCUACGGGAGGCAGCAGUGGGGAAUAUUGGACAAUGGGGGCAACCCUGAUCCAGCCAUGCCGCGUGUGUGAAGAAGGCCUUCGGGUUGUAAAGCACUUUAGGUCGGGAGGAAGGUUCGCUGGCUAAUAUCCAGCGGAAUUGACGUUACCGACAGAAUAAGCACCGGCUAACUCCGUGCCAGCCGCCGCGGUAA
Molecule: ribosomal RNA, 492 nt
Filed under: uncultured bacterium
Lineage: Bacteria
Description: partial 16S ribosomal RNA
Rfam family: Bacterial small subunit ribosomal RNA
Source: RNAcentral